This 822-nucleotide ribosomal RNA is filed under the name Triticum aestivum (bread wheat). RNAcentral's name for it is "partial small subunit ribosomal RNA". Lineage: Eukaryota; Viridiplantae; Streptophyta; Magnoliopsida; Poales; Poaceae. The record is from RNAcentral.
AUGGAAUCCGAUUCUCGCUCUGCGAGCUUCGACGCGCAAACGCAAUCUGCGUGGCUUUCUAAUCUCCAGAGCACGCUCCAGACCACGCCGGUUCUUCCUCCCCCAGAUCGAGAGCUAGGCUUCCUCAAUUGUCCCCCAGAUCGAGAGCUAGGGUUCUUCAACUGUCCACAAAUCGAGAGCGCAGGAGAUCAGGUCAAAAGAUCGAUGGCCCGUGAGGAGGGUUCGCGCACGGCGGCGGAUGAGAUUGCGGCCAAGCAUGCGUUGGCCGCCGGCGAGGAGCGCCCGCUGAAGCGGUGCCAGCAUGCUUCAACGGAGAAGCGCCCGCUGAAGCCUUGCGCCGCCAAAAGGAAGGCGGAGGCAGACGACGACGACGACGACGAGCUGCUCGCCGCCAAAAAGAAGGCCUUCUACGCCAAGUCAGGUCCAAGCAGAAAGAUGAAGCGGCUGCCGCGGGCGGAGGUGGCCUCGAUCCUUUCCAGUCGGACCCAUGCCGAUCACGCCCCUUCAUCCUACAAGGCACUGAAGCUCCAGAACCCGGACCUGAUUCCCUCGCCGGAAGAGGAGAUGGACGAGCUCAAGGUGGCAGAGUAUGCUGAUGCCCGCGACUUCUAUGAGGCUGCAGAGGAAGUCUCCAAAUUCCAUGCCUGGGUACGGAGCGAGUACGCCAAGAAUGGCUAUGUGGAGGUCGACGACGACUACCUCGCUCACAGGGAACAGGUCCGAGCUUGCGGCAACAGAGCACGGGAGGCUGCAUUCCAAGCGACGGACUUCUCUGAUGGAGACGAAGAUCUCAAGAUGUUUUUUAGGAAGGGACGGCACUGA